Non-coding RNA from Castor canadensis (American beaver), 425 nucleotides. The record is from the annotation of a RefSeq genome assembly. NCBI's taxonomy places the organism in Eukaryota, Metazoa, Chordata, Mammalia, Rodentia, Castoridae.
UAGACCUCUGCAGAAUGAGAAUGGAGCAGCAUUUGAGGACCUCCUUGGUGGCUCUGUGCCUUUGUUUUUUUUGGGUGAGUGGCAAAACCCAGGUGAAGCAGAGUCCUGGGUCCCUGACUGUCCUGCAGGGAGAGAACUGCACUCUUCAGUGCAAUUAUACCGUGAGUCCCUUUAACAACUUAAGGUGGUACCGACAAAACACAGGGAGAGGCCCCAUUUCCCUGAUGAUCAUGACCUACAAGGAAAGCAAAACCUCCACUGGAAGGUACACAGCAACCCUGGAUGAAAAUGCCAAGCACAGCUCCCUGUACAUCACAGACUCCCAGCCCAGCGACACUGCCUCCUACAUCUGUGUGGUGAGCGCACAGUGCUCCCUAGGCACUUGCAGCCGGUACCCAAACCUGCUCCUGGAGGCUGGCAAUGAG